CCUACGGGAGGCAGCAGUGGGGAAUAUUGCACAAUGGGGGAAACCCUGAUGCAGCGACGCCGCGUGAGCGAAGAAGUAUUUCGGUAUGUAAAGCUCUAUCAGCAGGGAAGAAGAAAUGACGGUACCUGACUAAGAAGCACCGGCUAAAUACGUGCCAGCAGCCGCGGUAAU
RNAcentral lists this ribosomal RNA (171 nucleotides) under uncultured Roseburia sp. Its description in RNAcentral is "partial 16S ribosomal RNA". It matches the Rfam family "Bacterial small subunit ribosomal RNA", at positions 338 to 524 of the family's 1533-position model. Lineage: Bacteria; Bacillati; Bacillota; Clostridia; Lachnospirales; Lachnospiraceae. The record is from RNAcentral.